This 429-nucleotide ribosomal RNA is filed under the name Gemmatimonadota bacterium. RNAcentral's name for it is "Gemmatimonadetes bacterium partial 16S ribosomal RNA". It matches the Rfam family "Bacterial small subunit ribosomal RNA", at positions 355 to 776 of the family's 1533-position model. Lineage: Bacteria; Pseudomonadati; Gemmatimonadota. The record is from RNAcentral.
UAGGGAAUCUUCGGCAAUGGACGAAAGUCUGACCGAGCAACGCCGCGUGAGUGAAGAAGGUUUUCGGAUCGUAAAACUCUGUUGUUAGAGAAGAACAAGGACGUUAGUAACUGAACGUCCCCUGACGGUAUCUAACCAGAAAGCCACGGCUAACUACGUGCCAGCAGCCGCGGUAAUACGUAGGUGGCAAGCGUUGUCCGGAUUUAUUGGGCGUAAAGCGAGCGCAGGCGGUUUCUUAAGUCUGGUGUGAAAGCCCCCGGCUCAACCUGGGAGGGUCAUUGGAAACUGGGAGACUUGAGUGCAGAAGAGGAGAGUGGAAUUCCAUGUGUAGCGGUGAAAUGCGUAGAUAUAUGGAGGAACACCAGUGGCGAAGGCGGCUCUCUGGUCUGUAACUGACGCUGAGGCUCGAAAGCGUGGGGAGCAAACAGG